This 21-nucleotide unclassified non-coding RNA is filed under the name Mus musculus (house mouse). RNAcentral's name for it is "oocyte_clustered_small_RNA11430". The record is from RNAcentral. Lineage: Eukaryota; Metazoa; Chordata; Mammalia; Rodentia; Muridae.
GGGUAAAGGAACCAUGGCAGG